AAGGCACACACUACGCAGUCAAGAAACAAUCCACAGCUAGCUAGCCGCAUUAGCAAAAUGGCCUUCAAAUCCAUAGCGUUCCCCACGCUCCUGCUCCUCGCUGCUGCGCUCAUGCUCGCGGCUUCCGCCCACGCCCAGGCACCGGCCUCGACACCGACUCCGGCACCGGCGCCAUCCCAAUCUCUGUGCCCUAAUGUCUUGAGCGACAUUCAGGCCUUCGAAACGGCAGCUAGGGCGCUCGUGGACAAGAUCGAGAUGAUUUUAGUUCCUAAUAUCAUGGUGAAGCUCGAUACCACCCUUGCGAUGCUAGGUCUCCUGCACCCAGGUGUGAAAUUGUGUGUGUGCACCAAUAAUCCUAGCAACCUCAUUCCCGGCUCGGGGCCCAAACUCAGAUGCGUUGGGGCCGGUAUCACUGUCUAAGCAUGCAUGCUGGCGCGCGCAUAACUUCAAAUUAAAUGGGCGCGUUGCCUGGUUGUUUACGUAUACUACUACUUACAUCAAAUAAGGUGCCUUAUAAGGUGAUCGAUGCAUAUGAGUCUGCACAUGUUUGUGUUGUUGUGCGUCUGGAGUUGAGAUCUGUUUAACUUAAUUGGUCAUCAUGUGUUGUGCUUCUUGUAUGUUGUCUGCUCAAAUGCCAUAUGUACUGGAAGCAUGUUGUAUUACUAUCAAGGACAUUUGUUCAUUCUGCUUAAUAUAAUAAUGAUCGGUUACAGUAUCACAACUUGUUGCAGUGGCCAU
This 738-nucleotide long non-coding RNA is filed under the name Setaria viridis. Its description in RNAcentral is "long non-coding RNA (SVIR_LNC001390)". The record is from RNAcentral. Lineage: Eukaryota; Viridiplantae; Streptophyta; Magnoliopsida; Poales; Poaceae.